RNAcentral lists this unclassified non-coding RNA (297 nucleotides) under uncultured Psathyrella. Its description in RNAcentral is "sequence contains ITS2". The stretch from base 1 to 52 matches the Rfam family "5.8S ribosomal RNA", at positions 103 to 154 of the family's 154-position model. Lineage: Eukaryota; Fungi; Basidiomycota; Agaricomycetes; Agaricales; Psathyrellaceae. The record is from RNAcentral.
AACGCACCUUGCGCUCCUUGGUAUUCCGAGGAGCAUGCCUGUUUGAGUGUCAUUAAAUUCUCAACUUCAUCAGCUUUAUUAUGAAACUGUGUGGAGCUUGGAUGUGGGGGUUUGUGCAGAGCGCGUAAAAGCAACCUGCUCCCCUUAAAUAAAUUAGCGAGUUCAAACUGGGCUCCGUCUAUUGGUGUGAUAAUUAUCUACGCCGUGGAUUGGGCUUAGACUUGCUUCUAAUCGUCCGCAAGGACAAUCUUUUGACAAUUUGACCUCAAAUCAGGUAGGACUACCCGCUGAACUUAA